Molecule: ribosomal RNA, 511 nt
Filed under: uncultured bacterium
Lineage: Bacteria
Description: bacterial SSU rRNA
Rfam family: Bacterial small subunit ribosomal RNA
Source: RNAcentral
AAGUCACUUUCCCUUCGGGGCAUUGGAGACAGGUGGUGCAUGGUUGUCGUCAGCUCGUGUCGUGAGAUGUUGGGUUAAGUCCCGCAACGAGCGCAACCCCUAUUUCCAGUAGCCAGCAAGAAAGAUGGGAACUCUGGUGAGACUGCCCGGGAUAACUGGGAGGAAGGCGGGGAUGACGUCAAAUCAUCAUGCCCCUUAUGAUCAGGGCUACACACGUGCUACAAUGGCGUAAACAAAGGGAAGCGAAGUGGUGACACGAAGCAAAUCCGAAAAAUAACGUCUCAGUUCGGAUUGUAGUCUGCAACUCGACUACAUGAAGCUGGAAUCGCUAGUAAUCGCGAAUCAGAAUGUCGUGGUGAAUACGUUCCCGGGUCUUGUACACACCGCCCGUCACACCAUGGGAGUCGGAAAUGCCCGAAGUCAGUGACCCAACCGAGAGGAGGGAGCUGCCGAAGGUGGAGCCGGUAACUGGGGUGAAGUCGUAACAAGGUAGCCGUAUCGGAAGGUGCGG